ACUUGAUAACAUCAUAGAAUUCAAAUAACAUUUUUUUUGACUAAUUUUUAUAGAAUAAAUUUUGAUUUAUUAUGAAUAGUAUCAGAGCAUACUCGAUUCACGGAUCAUGUAAAAUAGGGGAUGUGAAUAAUGAUAGCUGGCGUCUCUCGCAUAUUUGCUUCUCUCAUCCAUUGUUUGUUUGCCAAACAUGCUCUUUUUUUUUCCAAGGAGCCAACGGUGAGGUGAACCUCUUAUUCUAUUUCUUGUGUACCUUUGCCUCGUACAUCUCCUCCUAGUUAUAUGUUAGAUUAUUUUCUGUCCCCC
RNAcentral lists this long non-coding RNA (303 nucleotides) under Elaeis guineensis (African oil palm). Its description in RNAcentral is "long non-coding RNA (EGUI_LNC005383)". Lineage: Eukaryota; Viridiplantae; Streptophyta; Magnoliopsida; Arecales; Arecaceae. The record is from RNAcentral.